ACGGAGGGUGCAAGCGUUGUUCGGAAUUACUGGGCGUAAAGCGCGCGUAGGUGGUUGUAUAAGUCAGAUGUGAAAGUCCACGGCUCAACCGUGGAAGUGCAUUUGAAACUGUAUAACUUGAGUAUUGGAGGGGGUAGUGGAAUUCCCGGUGUAGAGGUGAAAUUCGUAGAUAUCGGGAGGAAUACCGGUGGCGAAGGCGACUACCUGGCCAAAUACUGACACUGAGGUGCGAAAGCGUGGGGAGCAAACAGG
Molecule: ribosomal RNA, 252 nt
Filed under: uncultured bacterium
Lineage: Bacteria
Description: partial 16S ribosomal RNA
Rfam family: Bacterial small subunit ribosomal RNA
Source: RNAcentral